UACAGAGGGGGCAAGCGUUGUUCGGAAUUACUGGGCGUAAAGCGCACGUAGGCGGAUUGUUAAGUUAGGGGUGAAAUCCCAGGGCUCAACCCUGGAACUGCCUUUAAUACUGGCAAUCUAGAGUCCGAGAGAGGUGAGUGGAAUUCCGAGUGUAGAGGUGAAAUUCGUAGAUAUUCGGAGGAACACCAGUGGCGAAGGCGGCUCACUGGCUCGGUACUGACGCUGAGGUGCGAAAGCGUGGGGAGCAAAC
This 250-nucleotide ribosomal RNA is filed under the name uncultured bacterium. Its description in RNAcentral is "partial 16S ribosomal RNA". It matches the Rfam family "Bacterial small subunit ribosomal RNA", at positions 524 to 773 of the family's 1533-position model. The record is from RNAcentral.